CACAUGUAACUGGCCUCUCAGUUACGAGCAACUUGGGUCUUUACUUUAAUCAGUUGGUGAGUUGGUACAGGAGGAAAACUGAGCAAAAUGAAAUAUUUUGUUAUUUUCUUGCUCCUUGCUGUGUUACAACUUGGCAACGCUUUCGUCAUCGAUCAACGUGACGUUUCAUCUGAGACUAAAGGUCGCAAAAAAAGAUGUGCAGAAAGAAAUCAAUUUUGUGGUUUUUACAAAGAUUGUUGUAGGGGUUUUUGCGAUGGGACUCGAUCUCAGUGCACCGGCUAGACCUUCACAUUUUUAAACCUUCCUUCUGAAGUGACUGUUGGAAAGUUAAUUAUCUGAAUGCUGCAUCAAAAGAAUUUGAACAUAUGUAUGUUUUAUUUCAUUCUAUUUGGAAUUAAAGUAUUGGGCAGAUC
Molecule: long non-coding RNA, 413 nt
Organism: Physella acuta
Lineage: Eukaryota; Metazoa; Mollusca; Gastropoda; Physidae
Source: RefSeq, a predicted model, not a curated record